GAGGGGAGGAGUAUGUCAGUGUUUGUCCAUCAGCACAUCCUAGCUGACAGCCGUCGGCCUGUCUGUCAGCAGGCUGGGAAAUGUCCUGACAUCUCGUUGGAAAUAUCCACUGGUUUCAAGCUAAAAAAUGUCGAAACACUGUCUUGAACAGUGGUCUCCGGCUCGGCAGCUUUCAGCUGUCACACCACUUCCUGCCCCGCAACCAUCUCCUCUCCUCCUCCUACCUGCCAAUACGAAAUCUUUAGUGAACCAUGGAGUCAUAUGGUUGCUUCCUUUCCGCUCAGUGGCUAGUGGCCCGGACACUGUCACCAAUACCGAGGGCCACCGCCAGACCCAGGAGAGCCUCCCAAGGUUCACUGCACAAAUCCCCUUCUGCGCCAACCAGUCCGUUAAUACACACCAACUAUCUGCCCUGCUGCUCUCUGUGUGGUCCUCAUCUGUGCUUUGACAAAGAGAAAGAGGAAACGCCAAGCUGCACUCCCUCACCGUUUCCUUGCAUCCAACUCCUGAGAGGGAAAUGAAAGCUGGUUGUGGAGAUGCAGUCAACAAGGUGGUAGGAAUUUUAAUGACCGGCUUUCUGCUGCCUUUUCCUCUCCCGUCGUUUUGGC
This 608-nucleotide long non-coding RNA is filed under the name Sparus aurata (gilthead seabream). Its description in RNAcentral is "lncRNA (ENSSAUG00010019523.1)". Lineage: Eukaryota; Metazoa; Chordata; Actinopteri; Spariformes; Sparidae. The record is from RNAcentral.